UGCAUAUCAAUAAGCGGAGGAAAAGAAACCAACCGGGAUUGCCUCAGUAACGGCGAGUGAAGCGGCAAAAGCUCAAAUUUGAAAUCUGCGUAAGCCGAGUUGUAAUUUGAAGAUGGCUACUUUGGUAAUGGCUCUUGUCUAUGUUCCUUGGAACAGGACGUCACAGAGGGUGAGAAUCCCGUGCGAUGAGAUGUCCAUUACCGUGUAAAGUGCUUUCGAAGAGUCGAGUUGUUUGGGAAUGCAGCUCUAAGUGGGUGGUAAAUUCCAUCUAAAGCUAAAUAUUGGCGAGAGACCGAUAGCGAACAAGUACAGUGAUGGAAAGAUGAAAAGAACUUUGAAAAGAGAGUGAAAAAGUACGUGAAAUUGUUGAAAGGGAAGGGCUUGAGAUCAGACUUGGUAUUUUGUAUGGCUUGCUUUCGGGCGGGUCCUCUGCAGUUUACUGGGCCAGCAUCGGUUUGGGUGGCAGGAUAAUAGCAUAGGAAUGUGGCUCUACUUCGGUGGAGUGUUAUAGCCUUUGUUGAUACUGCCUGCCUAGACCGAGGACUGCGUCUUUGACUA
RNAcentral lists this ribosomal RNA (558 nucleotides) under Fermentozyma sake. RNAcentral describes it as "eukaryotic LSU rRNA". It matches the Rfam family "Eukaryotic large subunit ribosomal RNA", at positions 37 to 609 of the family's 3401-position model. The record is from RNAcentral. Lineage: Eukaryota; Fungi; Ascomycota; Pichiomycetes; Serinales; Debaryomycetaceae.